Molecule: ribosomal RNA, 492 nt
Filed under: uncultured bacterium
Lineage: Bacteria
Description: partial 16S ribosomal RNA
Rfam family: Bacterial small subunit ribosomal RNA
Source: RNAcentral
AGUGAACGCUGGCGGUAGGCCUAACACAUGCAAGUCGAGCGGCAGCACAGUAAGAGCUUGCUCUUACGGGUGGCGAGUGGCGGACGGGUGAGGAAUACAUCGGAAUCUACUUUUUCGUGGGGGAUAACGUAGGGAAACUUACGCUAAUACCGCAUACGACCUACGGUUGAAAGCAGGGGAUCUUCGCACCUUUCGCGAUUGGAUGAGCCGAUGUCGGAUUAGCUAGUUGGCGGGGUAAAGGCCCACCCUGGCGACGAUACGUAGCCGGUCUGAGAGGAUGGUCGGCCACACUGGAACUGAGACACGGUCCAGACUCCUACGGGAGGCAGCAGUGGGGAAUAUUGGACAAUGGGCGCAAGCCUGACCCAGCCAUACCGCGUGGGUGAAGAAGGCCUUCGGGUUGUAAAGCCCUUUUGUUGGGAAAGAAAAGCUGUAGGUUAAUACCCCGCUGUUCUGACGGUACCCAAUGAAUAAGCACCGGCUAACUUCGUG